GUUGACCUCGGAUCAGGUAGGAAUACCCGCUGAACUUAAGCAUAUCAAUAAGCGGAGGAAAAGAAACCAACAGGGAUUGCCCUAGUAACGGCGAGUGAAGCGGCAACAGCUCAAAUUUGAAAUCUGCUU
This 129-nucleotide ribosomal RNA is filed under the name Ophiocordyceps sinensis. Its description in RNAcentral is "partial 28S ribosomal RNA". It matches the Rfam family "Eukaryotic large subunit ribosomal RNA", at positions 1 to 127 of the family's 3401-position model. The record is from RNAcentral. Lineage: Eukaryota; Fungi; Ascomycota; Sordariomycetes; Hypocreales; Ophiocordycipitaceae.